CCCAUCAGAGUCAUCUGAUCAUCAAACUCCCUGACUCUCUUUCAUUCUCAUCAUUAUACUUCAACCACAUUUCAGAAGUACUAGUGAAGUGCAACCCCAAUGACAAUGGUACACUGACAGACUGUGAACUGGGAAACCCAUUCAAAAGAGAUGCUGAAGUUACUUUCUAUGUAAUAUUGUCCACUUCCCGCAUCUCUCUGAGCACAACUGAUGUAAAUAUUACCUUGUAGCUUGAAACGACAAGUGUGCAGAAGAUACAAGCAAGUGAAGCAAAGGCCAAAGUAGUUUUUGAGCUGCACCUACAAGUAUUUGGACUGGCCAGGCCCUCCCAGGUCAGCUUUGGAGGAGCUGUAAAGGGAGAGAGCGCCAUGAAAUCAGAGGACGAUAUUGGAACCCUUGUGGAGU
Molecule: long non-coding RNA, 405 nt
Organism: Oncorhynchus tshawytscha (Chinook salmon)
Lineage: Eukaryota; Metazoa; Chordata; Actinopteri; Salmoniformes; Salmonidae
Exons: 5
Source: RefSeq, a predicted model, not a curated record